This 605-nucleotide ribosomal RNA is filed under the name Tergivelum baldwinae. Its description in RNAcentral is "partial 16S ribosomal RNA". It matches the Rfam family "Bacterial large subunit ribosomal RNA", at positions 1808 to 2609 of the family's 2925-position model. The record is from RNAcentral. Lineage: Eukaryota; Metazoa; Hemichordata; Enteropneusta.
CAAAAACAUCACCCCCCGUAUACACAUAAAAUGGGGGGCACUGCCUGCCCAGUGAAUUUAUUUUAAACGGCCGCGGUAUCUUAACCGUGCAAAGGUAGCAUAAUCACUAGCCCUCUAAAUAAGGGCCGGUAUGAACGGCAACACGAGGGCUAGACUGUCUCCUCUUUAUAACAUGAAACUUCUUUGGCCGUGCAAAAGCGGCCAUAAAAGCGCAAGACGAGAAGACCCUAUCGAGCUUCAGGGGUAAAAGAAUGACUAAAAAUUAUACCUAGCUGAGUAAAACAUAAUUUUUUAUUUAAACACAGUCUAUAAUUUAUUUUCUAACUCUUUUUUACCCCUUUGGUUGGGGCAACCACGGAGAAAAAACAUCCUCUAAAUCAAAUUACUUUUAAAAGACAUUACGUCUUAAUCUCGAUUCUCAUGAUAUAUGAUCCGAUCAACUCGAACAACAAACAAAGUUACCGUAGGGAUAACAGCGUAAUUCCUCCUAAGAGCCCACAUUGCCGGAGGAGUUUGCGACCUCGAUGUUGGAUCAGGGUAUCCCGAUGGUGCAACCGCUAUCUAAGGUUGGUCUGUUCGACCAUUAAAACCCCACGUGAUCUGAG